This is an RNA transcript of Hordeum vulgare subsp. vulgare (domesticated barley), 1619 nucleotides long. RefSeq lists it as uncharacterized. NCBI's taxonomy places the organism in Eukaryota, Viridiplantae, Streptophyta, Magnoliopsida, Poales, Poaceae. The transcript has 11 exons. The record is from RefSeq and is a predicted model, not a curated record.
UAAUUAGGAAUCGACUACCCGGAACUCGGGCGCGUCCCCUAGUUGACGAAUCGCUCCUCCCGCUCCCGCUCCCAAUACGAGCUCACGCUUUCUCGCCUCGCGCCCUCAAAACCCAAACCCCUAUCUAUGCCGGGGAUCCAUGCCCCGGCGCCGGCGCCGGCUCCGAAGACGGCGCUUGCUCCGGAGAGCAAGUGGAUGCUCGAGCGUGGCGGCGGGGAGGCGGAAGGAAUAAGGGGGGAAGCGGAGGCCAAGCAACCGUGUGGGGCUGGCGUAUCAGAAAUAUCAGCAGCAGUACAUGGAGAUCCCCUUGCUGAUGGGAUUACCCAACCUAGAUUUCAGGUAUCAUCAGGGCAGCAGGGCAGCUCUACAUUCACCCAAGAAAAGACCUCUCCUGACUACCAAAUUCCACAUAGGAAGGCUCACGCUGAUGGUAUACCCUUGCGGGCUGCGGAGCAAUUGGAAGUACAUGUUGGUAAUAAGGGAGGUGACAUCAUUAAGACUCUAGAAUCCAGGGAGUCUAGGGUUCACAUUCAGGUAAACCGGCAUGAUAUCCUUAAUGGUGAGAUUUCCAGGGGAACAUAUGUAGAACUUACAGAAAACGAGCAAAUAGGAGUUGAAAGAUCAGUGGCCAUGGAGAUCAACAGCCAGGCGAACUCUAUCUUGGGGAGCUCCGCCAUUGAUGAGAUUAUGGAACCUCAGAUGGCUGACUAUUUUGAUUUUAUGGGAGAUUAUGGUCUAGAUCAAGCAACCUGUGUAUCAAGUGAACAAGCAGAGCACUCCCCAGUUCAGUUGCAAGAACGAAUUACAACGGUGAAGGAAUUACUUGCAUCCGGGCUUUUUCAAAACGAGGAGAUUGUAUAUUUAUUCUCAAAAACAAAAUUGAGAGGCAAAAUUGAUGGUGUAUUUUACCGUUGCUCUUGUCACAAUGAGGCUAUGCCUGCGUCGAAGUUUGAGAAACAUGCUGGCUAUACCUCUCAUAAAGCAAAUGAGCGUAUCAUGUUGUGGGGUGAGCGGUGGUCGCUGCAUGGCAUUGUCGCCUAUCUCAAGUCACUCGGUUCAAAGGAAGAACAACUUGCAGCAAUUUGGAAAAUGAAGAAAAAGAAUGAAAACAGAAAGGCCUCGCGAGGCUUAGGUGGUUGAUCUGGGCUGGUAGUUUGUAAGAAUAUGGAUCGCUUGCCGGAGCAGCGGGGCGAUGCUACCCGCUUCGCAGACACGUCGUGGUCUGACUGCUUGUACACCCACGAGAACACGGACAACGCCGCCACGCCCAGCUCGCCGGAGGUCACAUAUUUAUCCUCCUCCUCUGUGCAUGUACUAUCGUUGGAUCGACACGGAAAUGCCAAACUGGGCGGUGACUGAGAUUCGUGAAAGAGGUCGUCAUGCAUGGGCUAGUUUGGACGCGGAAUAGCGCCGCGAGAAGGUGGAAGCAGAGGAGAAGAGAGAGUGGCAAGAGCACUGUGUGAAGCAGAGGGCUAUGAUUGAUGAGAUGUUGAAGCAAAGCUGAGAAGAGGAACUUCGACUGGCGGAGGUUUAUAGACAGCCACAGGAGGCCCGUGAGUCUGAGAGGGAGAGAAAGAAAGAAAGGGCUCGUGCGGCCAAGGCAACAGAAGAAGCUGGUG